CUCACCUUAUCAGACGUAAGAGCGCAACGCUACGAACGUCGAGGUCGCAGGUUCGUUCCCUGCAGGUGGGUCCA
Molecule: transfer RNA, 74 nt
Filed under: Massilia pseudoviolaceinigra
Lineage: Bacteria; Pseudomonadati; Pseudomonadota; Betaproteobacteria; Burkholderiales; Oxalobacteraceae
Description: tRNA-Arg
Source: RNAcentral